RNAcentral lists this long non-coding RNA (5022 nucleotides) under Cicer arietinum (chickpea). RNAcentral describes it as "long non-coding RNA (CARI_LNC002566)". Lineage: Eukaryota; Viridiplantae; Streptophyta; Magnoliopsida; Fabales; Fabaceae. The record is from RNAcentral.
ACUCUACGUCUUUGAUCUGAAGUGUCGGUAAUCAGAAGUGUCGGUGUUAUUACAUGGUAGAGCCUGAGAAAGAGAGAAAAUAAAACAAAAUGAAAUUAAAUCAUGUAUUGAUUGAACGAGAAAUAUACUAAAUGAAUAAUACACAUGUUGAGAUUCUCUAUAUAUAGAGUUAGUGGAGAAUUAACAAACAAACUACCUACUAACUCUAACUAACUUUUGUUCCCUAAGUGUAUCUCAUAUAUAAAAGAUUGCGGGGAUAUUUGAUAUAGUGAGGUUCAGAUUCAGAUCUGCGAUACCCCACUUCUUUGCAUUUAGUAUGUGUCUGGGCUUCGCCCUUAGGUUCUUUAAGGAAGAAAAAAAACUCUUAACUGAUUUUUAUAAUUCUGAUUUCUAUUAAUACAAGAUGUAUUAUUAUUUUUUUGAGAGUUUGGAAAUGAUGUUACAGUAGUGUCUAUUGUAGUAACUUGUUCUUUUGAUUUGAUCAUUUAGGUAUCUAUCCAUCAUGUGUAUGAAUCCCUGAAAUUUUAAUUACUUAAACUAGCGCAGAAACAAUCACACACUAUCGUAUGUGGAGACACCGUUUUCAACCUGAGUUACAAUGGAAAUCGCCCACCUCAUCAAGAACGGAUAAUAACCAUUUAUUCAGACAAGGCUUUCUACAGCGUUUUCAGAAUCCCACAAUUUUUCUCAAGAUUUCUUGUGAUGGAGACUAUGUUCUGCCCAUUGUUGUAGGUAUUAUGCUAUGCAUCAAUGAUGUAAAUUUGUGUGUACUAGACUUUGAAUUAAACUUUUUGCAGUUGUUUUUAUGGAAUUCUUGUUUUAUUAACUUUGAUUAUUUGUUGCUGCAGGAAAGAUUGCUAUUGAAAAGCUUAUAGAUGCUGAAGCUGAACAAGAAAGUGAGGUAAAUUUUUGAACUGCAUCGCAAUGGUUGUGCACUUAUGCUUUUUUUUGUUUGUGACCGAUUCUUAUAAAAUGGUGGUUAUAUUACAGGAUUGUCCGGAUCGGUUUCAGUUUGUAAAUAACCUAGUUGAAAGACUAGACCAUGAAGUAUGGAGCUAAGCAUUUUCCACUUUUUAUUGAUGACAAUGGAUGUUCAACCAUUUGCUCCAUUUUUUUAUUCUGUUAAUAAUUUUUGCUCAUUCUGAUUCUUGUCUGUUAGGUUUAGUUUAGGCAGUAAUAUUUAUGCAAAUAGCUGCAACAAAAAAUAUUCCACUACAUUAUACCAUCUUUAGAACUUUUGAUUCUUAUGAACUCUUCUUGACAAUGAAAUGUUAUCUCUAUGAGAACCCCCCCCCCCAAAAAAAAAAUUAUAAUCUCUCUCAUUUUAAUAUUCAACACCACUGGCUAAAUCAUACUUUACCCAUUUACUAUGUCAUAGAAUAAAUCAGAAGGUAUUCUACACUAGCUAAUGACCUUUUUGUAGUCUAACUGCAUCAUUGAUCCUUCUCAAGGAAAUUAUGUGAGAUCAUAACAUCAAUACCCAUUGUGUGUUUGUGUUUGACAAGUACCAUACUAAAAAAGAAGCAAUUCGAAUAGUUAUUUGGAUCCUCUUAAAUACAAUUAAUUUCACUUUAGUAAUCUUCCGGUCCUAAUUCUUGUGUUCUAAAGAUGUUGAGUAAUAGUAAUAUUUUCAGUGUCAAAUAGAAGUUGGGUGUCAAGUAAUUUAUCAAGAAGUAUUUCUUAAUUUUACUCUUUCAGGUAUUAAUGGUAAGAAUUACAGAGAGAGUAGUCAGUACUUACUUUGCCAAAUUGUACCUUAGCCAGGUAUUAACAACUUUUAAAUUCUAAAUGAUAAAUACCUUUAUAUUAUGAUUUUUCAUUUAUAAAAGUUCUCAUCAAAUUUUAUAAAUCCUUCAGCCAGGGAAAAGUGAUAUUAUUGGUGUGGAUGCACGUCCGUCAGAUGCCAUUAAUGUUGCAAAUAGAUGCAAGGUAUGAAUUAUGUGGUGACCCUGCCAAUAUUUGUUAAGAAAAAUUGAUUUUUGAAAGGGGAACAUCCGAAGACUAUAACAUAACUGUUCUUAUUUAGAAAUCUUAGUAAUAUGCAUUUUGUGCCAGGAAGUUAUACAAACCCUCUUGUAUGAUUCUAUAUUUGAUCUGUGCAGGCUCCAAUAUAUGUAAGUAAACAAAUUGUUUUCACAGAUGCUAUAAGGCUCGGUUAUGGAAUGGGCAGAGUGCAUAAUAAGAAGGCUAUUUAUGAUGUAUUGCUUGACAGGUAUUGCCUAGUUAUUGUGUCUUACUGUGUCGUGUGUAGCGUCCUUACCACCGUAGGUUCUGUGUGCAAGUUUCCUCCUUUACAUUCUUGGUAUAUCAUUUGAGCCUGAACUUCAUUCGUUUGCUACAGUCCCAUAGAUGGUCCAGAUUCGGUAGCUGAAGAACUAAGUAUGAUGCAUAAUAUGCAUUUAGCUAUCAAACAGGAACGAUUUAACGACGCAGGUAAAAUAUCUUUUCGGUAUGACUGUAUUUAUUUAAUAUUUUUUAUUUUUCAGAUUUUGAGUAUAAGGUCACAACUGUUGGCCUUCUGCAAGCUGGAAUACCUAAAUAUGGGCAGUUUCAUCAAAUAACUUUAGCUUGUUUGCUGGCUUUUGCAGCUAUAUGGAGAGACAAACUUGAAAAUCUUCGUAAAUCAUCUCAUGAGCACUAGGUAUGUCCAAAAUUGUUUCUAGCCACUUCAAUAGUUAGAAUUUGACUUCAAAAAAAUCAAUAGACAAAAUUCUGUGUCUACUUAAUUUCACUAUAUAGUUGCAUAAUUAUGUGUUGAAAUUUUCAGGUGGUGAUGACAGGGUAAGUUCUGAAGAGGAACGUAUGGUUAUCUUUUCCUGAUAAUUUUUCAACAGGAAUAUAUCGAGGCAUAAGUUACAGAAAUGAAGCAAAAUUAUGUGUUGUACAGCUAAGAAUUAGAAUCCUUAACCUCAGUUUGUGUAUAUAAUCAAAUGUAUUGAGGCCUAAAACUUGUGGAAGGUUCUCGUACUUCCACUUAUACUUGUGAAUUGCAACACAUCGAGUAUGUUUGCAAUCCUUGACAUGAUCAUCAAUGAAAUUAUGAAAAGAAUAUAUGGCAUUGCCACUCUCUGAUUAAUGAAUGUAAUAUAAAGUCCUUAACAUUGAUAGUUUUAAAUUAGUAUUUGCUACCCAAUAUCGCGAAUUGGCUAAUGAUCAUAUAUCACUGUCUCAUGUCACUCUUCUGAUCAUAAAGAACUUUUCAUACUGACAGUUACAUGUUAUGAUGUUAUAAAUUCUUGCACGUGAUAGAGGAUGUAAGGGGUUAAGAUGGCCAGAAGCUUUAAACUUAGUCAUCAACUUUUAGAGCCAUGUAGUACUAUUAAGGGAAUUCGCUUGCAAAACAUCAUCAAAUUGGUGUGAUGAAUUAGUUACAGUACACACAAAGUUAUCUAAACAUUACUUGGCUCCAAAGUUUUCUUAUACACACACUUAGCUUAUCUUUCAGUUGGACUUGCGUAUGCAAACCAAUAAGGCUAGCAUUCUGUUACAAAUGCUGCUUUUGAAAAUAUAUAUUGGAUCCAGAUUCCUUCCUUCCUAAACAAAACAUUAAUAUGUAUUGAUCCACAUACAAAAUUUCACAUGAAUGAUAUUGAUGCAUUAUAUAAAAAAGAAUAUAUCUUUAUUUUUAACAUUGAUAUUUUCUUUACAUAAACUAAUCAAAUCUUGUGUUGACGUAUUUUUCAAUCAUAUAUAUCAAUUUUCUUUGGGAAAUACUAACAAGUAUUUUUUAAGAUAUUAAAAGUAAAAGUUUAAUCUUAUAAAUGGUGCAUUCAACUCCUUGAAAUUUUAAACUUUGAUCUUUUUUUCCACUCAUUUUCUGCUACCAUAUCCUAAAACAACAUUUAGUAAUCAUGAUCAACUCCGAUGCUUGUAAAAGCUGUAAAAACUGGAAGCUAGUUCCCCGUUGGCACUAUGCAACCUAAGAACGCUUUAUAAAUAUUUGAGGCUAAUUUUCCAGAUUAUGAUGCAAACUAUAGGAAAUUUAUAAAUGAGGCAAGAAUAGCCUUGGUUUGUAAGAAUAAUAUGGAAUAAUCGAAACUCAAAACUGCAAUUUUUAUUGAUUAGCAAUAAGGCUGUUAAAUUGCCAAUACAAAUGGCAACAGAAAAGCUAUAAAAUAGCCCACUCAGGAAACACUUACAAGAUUUAAUUAAAUAAAACUGCUUCCUAAAGACUAGGACAAAUCGAAAAAAAUAAGACUAAUAUUCCCUAAAUUUUAGCAACAGAAUAAAAAACUAACAAAUAUUCUAUAAUGGUUCUCAUCGUUUUCGUGUAAAAUGAUUGAGUUCCAAGCUCAAACUUUAACGAGUUUUGAACAGAUAUUUAACAAUUAAUUAAUGAUCUUUGGACGUAGUUGUAAACAUAAUCUUUUAUGGUUAGAUACUGCUUUUAUAUAUAUAUCUUGAUUUUUGCACCAUAUACUUGAAAACUCAUAACUUCCUAAAUUUAAUUUUUCUUUCCUAUAAUUGUCACAACGGUUUUAAGCCAAUAAUACGAAAAAGGAGAAAAGUGGCGUAGCCGAAUAGGAAUUAUUAUGCAUAAAAAAUACCAUAAAGUAUUAAAGAAAAAAGAAGAAGAAGAUUAAUAAUGCUUCCAAAAGAAUCUGAAUACUAAUCAUACUUAUGCCAACAAAUUAACAUCAUAAUACAUCUUCUAACAAUAUAGAACCUGGACUUAUGCUCCUUAACCAUCGCAAAGCAUCCACAUCUUCGUGAAUUAACUGAUCCUCCACCACUAUGAUUGUUUUUACGUGAUGCACAUAGACCCAUCCAAAUCAAAUAUCUAAAUCACAUAAACUAUGCAAUAAUAAUUGAAUUAAAUACAGUUUAAACAAAACCGCUUGAUAUGAUAGCUAUGUUUCUUUAACUCUUCUUCGUAAUUGCUUUGAUCUUCUCGAGCUUUUUUCUCUUAAUUUAUCUGUAUCAAAUUUGGGGCUAUAUAUAUAUAUAUGCAUAGGCUAUAGUGGUUUUAUUAUUUUAUAUACGCGCCUAAUAUUAAUACGUUAUUUAUUGUAUAUGCGUGUG